Molecule: long non-coding RNA, 235 nt
Filed under: Trifolium pratense (red clover)
Lineage: Eukaryota; Viridiplantae; Streptophyta; Magnoliopsida; Fabales; Fabaceae
Description: long non-coding RNA (TPRA_LNC006039)
Source: RNAcentral
AGAGGAGAUUCCCUCUAACAGAUAACAUCAGAGCUGAUCAAAAUACUAGGAUGCUGAUCAAGAAUAAUACUACAAAGCACAUUGGAAAUGUUGUUGGCAUCUUCACAUCCAAAGGCUUAGCAUGCUUAGUAGUUUGAAAAAUAUAAGAGUCAAAAUCCCAUUUGGUCUUGGUACCAACAGUGUAGAUAAAGUUACUCAAGCCUAUAGCACUGUCAGAAAACUCUACCUCAGCUUC